Molecule: long non-coding RNA, 1458 nt
Organism: Homo sapiens (human)
Lineage: Eukaryota; Metazoa; Chordata; Mammalia; Primates; Hominidae
Gene: PRPF31-AS1
Product: PRPF31 antisense RNA 1
Exons: 4
Source: RefSeq, marked validated
GCCUGCCCCUUCACGCCAGCAGAAGCACCCCACCUUCUCUGCGCUCACCUUGACCGUGCGGAUGUAAUCCAGUGCAUUGGGGACCAAGGACUCCAGUUCAGGGAAUCUCUUUGAGUACUUAUCCCGGAUGAACUUAUGGAUGAUGUCUAGGUAACUGAAGCCCUGGCUUGUGGCCUGGCACACGGGCACCAGCAUACAGCCUUUCUCAGCCGUCCUUACCGCUAGGUGUGACCAGGGGAAUUAGUUCUGGUCUGUAAAACGUGAGCUGCAGUGACAUGUUCUUAAAGAAAAGAAGCGCCUUGCUGGUGGGAAUGCGGAGGUGAUGGCUGGAGGUGGGGCAGUCACCUCGCACCGUGAGGCAGGUGGCCGACCAACAGGAUGGAAAGAGCCGGGGCCCUACAGGCAGCCAAGCGGCCACACCAUCCCCGAGUGCUCCUCAGACUCAUACGCGAGAGAACGCACUUCCUUCUUAUUUCAGCCACUCUGUGACAGCAGGUUGUUGGCAUCCACGAUGACGCGGUAUUCAGGCGCGGCCUCCACUGGUCCCAUCACUGUGAGGACACGGAGGCAUGGGUCACUUGUGCACCUCCAGUAAACAGGGACUGCCACAGCUUGUGAGAUGUUUCACCUCUGCCUCCUCAACCAGACACCGGGUGUGACGGGGUCUGACUCCAUCCCUGAGCCUGGCCUGACAUCAGGAAAUGUCACUUUCUGUGUCCCAUAACCCUCUGGAGGGAGAAAUUCCUUGGCCUGGCAUCUGGAACUCUGCAGGAUUCUCUCUCCGGAUAUCUGAGGCCCCGGGCCUGCCGCUGUCUUUCCCUGGGCCCCCUUCUCCCUUUCUUUGCCUGGCACAUGCAUUCAUGCUCUACAGUCCAAUUCAGCUAUCGAUUCUUCCUGACACCUGGGGCAGGGUCAGCCAGUCCCUCCUGUGGCUCCGGUGUCCCCAGCUUGGUACCACCACUGAUAGCUGUCUGGAACCUGGCCUGCCUCUUCCACUAGACCUUGAGUACUUUGAGAGCAAAGACCUGGGCGAUUCAACUGGGUGCCCAGGUAAACGUUAAAGAAAGCAAGCAGUGAGUCUCCCGAAACUCUGCCCUCUCACUACACUUCUUUCCCCAGAAACCUCCUAUGGCUUCCUGUCAUCAACAAAUUCCAUUCAAGAAGAAUGGGAAGGCUGGGCGUAGUGGCUCAUGCCUGUAAUCCCAGCACUUUGGGAGGCCGAGGUGGGCGGAUUACUUGAGGUCAGGAGUUCGAGACUAGCCUGGUCAACAUGGUGAAACCCCAUCUCUACUAAAAAAUACAAAAUAGCCAGGCAUGGUGUUGCAUACCUGUAAUCCCAGCUAUACAUAAGGCUGAGGGAGGAGAAUCGCUUGAACCCGGGAGGUGGAGGUUGCAAUGAGCCAAGAACACAUCACUGCACUCCAGCCUGGGCGACAGAGGGAGACUCUAUCUCAAGGA